CAAAUCAUCAUCGCCCCUUAUGAUCUGGGCUACACACGUGCUACAAUGGCCGGUACAACGGGCAGCGGAGGGAGCGAUCCGGAGCGAAUACCUAAAAAGCCGGUCCCAGUUCGGAUUGCAGGCUGAAACUCGCCUACAUGAAGUUGGAGUUGCUAGUAAUCGCGAAUCAGAAUGUCGCGGUGAAUGCGUUCCCGGGUCUU
This 200-nucleotide ribosomal RNA is filed under the name uncultured Fusibacter sp. RNAcentral's name for it is "partial 16S ribosomal RNA". It matches the Rfam family "Bacterial small subunit ribosomal RNA", at positions 1186 to 1382 of the family's 1533-position model. Lineage: Bacteria; Bacillati; Bacillota; Clostridia; Eubacteriales; Fusibacteraceae. The record is from RNAcentral.